GGGGGGGGGGGGGCAAGGGCUAGAGGGAGGCAGGGAGUAGAGAGUGACUGCCUAAUGGGUACCGAGCCUUAUUUUGGGGUGAUAAAAAUGCUUUAGAAAUAGGUCAAGGUGGUGGUUGAUGAGGCUUGGGGUGAUAGUGGGGUUCGUGGGGUCAGGAGCCGACGGCGAAGAAAGAAUUCUGGAAGAUGUCUUUGGCGCAAAAAGGUGAUUUUAUUAAAACACGGGCACGACGGGCCUGCCUCCACGCAGGUGCAAGGGUGUUGUGUGUGCACGCACACACGCGCGUCAACAUGGAGAUGGGGUACACUGCUCCCCGCUUCAGCCCCAGCCCGUUUUCCUAUCCAUGCAGUUAGGGACUUAAUUUAAAAUCCCUAUUUUGUAGGUUCGCCGCCUUCAAAACACACUGCUACAACAUUCUAAUAAAGGCUCCUUUAAACCCCUUUGUCAAAAAACAAAAACAAACACGGGCACGGGACCGGCGGGCAGGAAGAGCUGCCCCAGGGACCAUGAAGAGACACUGGUUACACACUUGGGAGCUGGGGGAGGUGAAGCCAAGGGGGAGUUUCCAGUGGGAUUUCCACAGACUAAAGCAGACUCCCGGGGUACUGGAGGCCUAGCGGUCGUCAAGCCAAGGUUGUUUUUCCCUCUGGCAAAGUGUUACUACUAAGUAGGGAGUUCCGGGAGAAACGUUAUCUGCCGUUUCCUUCUGCCUCCUUUUCCCACACCACUGGGCCUACAACCAUGCGAAUGUUCUAAAUCCCACUAUAUGGUACACCUCGAACGGGUCGACUUGAUGUUAUGGGGGUUUCACCUCCGUCAAAAAAAUAAAUAAAUGGACAGCUUAAAA
Molecule: long non-coding RNA, 847 nt
Organism: Neofelis nebulosa (Clouded leopard)
Lineage: Eukaryota; Metazoa; Chordata; Mammalia; Carnivora; Felidae
Exons: 2
Source: RefSeq, a predicted model, not a curated record